RNAcentral lists this ribosomal RNA (480 nucleotides) under uncultured organism. RNAcentral describes it as "partial 16S ribosomal RNA". It matches the Rfam family "Bacterial small subunit ribosomal RNA", at positions 330 to 801 of the family's 1533-position model. The record is from RNAcentral.
CGUACACUCCUACGGGAGGCAGCAGUGGGGAAUAUUACACAAUGGGCGCAAGCCUGAUGCAGCCAUGCCGCGUGUAUGAAGAAGGCCUUCGGGUUGUAAAGUACUUUCAGCGGGGAGGAAGGCAAUACGGUUAAUAACCGUGUUGAUUGACGUUACCCGCAGAAGAAGCACCGGCUAACUCCGUGCCAGCAGCCGCGGUAAUACGGAGGGUGCAAGCGUUAAUCGGAAUUACUGGGCGUAAAGCGCACGCAGGCGGUCUGUCAAGUCGGAUGUGAAAUCCCCGGGCUCAACCUGGGAACUGCAUUCGAAACUGGCAGGCUUGAGUCUUGUAGAGGGGGGUAGAAUUCCAGGUGUAGCGGUGAAAUGCGUAGAGAUCUGGAGGAAUACCGGUGGCGAAGGCGGCCCCCUGGACAAAGACUGACGCUCAGGUGCGAAAGCGUGGGGAGCAAACAGGAUUAGAAACCCGGGUAGUCCCAUGAU